RNAcentral lists this ribosomal RNA (1539 nucleotides) under Lacticaseibacillus rhamnosus. Its description in RNAcentral is "Lactobacillus rhamnosus 16S ribosomal RNA". It matches the Rfam family "Bacterial small subunit ribosomal RNA". The record is from RNAcentral. Lineage: Bacteria; Bacillati; Bacillota; Bacilli; Lactobacillales; Lactobacillaceae.
UGAACGCUGGCGGCGUGCCUAAUACAUGCAAGUCGAACGAGUUCUGAUUAUUGAAAGGUGCUUGCAUCUUGAUUUAAUUUUGAACGAGUGGCGGACGGGUGAGUAACACGUGGGUAACCUGCCCUUAAGUGGGGGAUAACAUUUGGAAACAGAUGCUAAUACCGCAUAAAUCCAAGAACCGCAUGGUUCUUGGCUGAAAGAUGGCGUAAGCUAUCGCUUUUGGAUGGACCCGCGGCGUAUUAGCUAGUUGGUGAGGUAACGGCUCACCAAGGCAAUGAUACGUAGCCGAACUGAGAGGUUGAUCGGCCACAUUGGGACUGAGACACGGCCCAAACUCUACGGGAGGCAGCAGUAGGGAAUCUUCCACAAUGGACGCAAGUCUGAUGGAGCAACGCCGCGUGAGUGAAGAAGGCUUUCGGGUCGUAAAACUCUGUUGUUGGAGAAGAAUGGUCGGCAGAGUAACUGUUGUCGGCGUGACGGUAUCCAACCAGAAAGCCACGGCUAACUACGUGCCAGCAGCCGCGGUAAUACGUAGGUGGCAAGCGUUAUCCGGAUUUAUUGGGCGUAAAGCGAGCGCAGGCGGUUUUUUAAGUCUGAUGUGAAAGCCCUCGGCUUAACCGAGGAAGUGCAUCGGAAACUGGGAAACUUGAGUGCAGAAGAGGACAGUGGAACUCCAUGUGUAGCGGUGAAAUGCGUAGAUAUAUGGAAGAACACCAGUGGCGAAGGCGGCUGUCUGGUCUGUAACUGACGCUGAGGCUCGAAAGCAUGGGUAGCGAACAGGAUUAGAUACCCUGGUAGUCCAUGCCGUAAACGAUGAAUGCUAGGUGUUGGAGGGUUUCCGCCCUUCAGUGCCGCAGCUAACGCAUUAAGCAUUCCGCCUGGGGAGUACGACCGCAAGGUUGAAACUCAAAGGAAUUGACGGGGGCCCGCACAAGCGGUGGAGCAUGUGGUUUAAUUCGAAGCAACGCGAAGAACCUUACCAGGUCUUGACAUCUUUUGAUCACCUGAGAGAUCAGGUUUCCCCUUCGGGGGCAAAAUGACAGGUGGUGCAUGGUUGUCGUCAGCUCGUGUCGUGAGAUGUUGGGUUAAGUCCCGCAACGAGCGCAACCCUUAUGACUAGUUGCCAGCAUUUAGUUGGGCACUCUAGUAAGACUGCCGGUGACAAACCGGAGGAAGGUGGGGAUGACGUCAAAUCAUCAUGCCCCUUAUGACCUGGGCUACACACGUGCUACAAUGGAUGGUACAACGAGUUGCGAGACCGCGAGGUCAAGCUAAUCUCUUAAAGCCAUUCUCAGUUCGGACUGUAGGCUGCAACUCGCCUACACGAAGUCGGAAUCGCUAGUAAUCGCGGAUCAGCACGCCGCGGUGAAUACGUUCCCGGGCCUUGUACACACCGCCCGUCACACCAUGAGAGUUUGUAACACCCGAAGCCGGUGGCGUAACCCUUUUAGGGAGCGAGCCGUCUAAGGUGGGACAAAUGAUUAGGGUGAAGUCGUAACAAGGUAGCCGUAGGAGAACCUGCGGCUGGAUCACCUCCUU